CAAAAACAUCACUAGAAGAUAAAGACUUUUAGCAAUACCUGCCCAGUGCGAAAUAUUACUGUAAACGGCCGCCCUAGCGUGAGGGUGCUAAGGUAGCGAAAUUCCUUGCCUUUUGAUUGUAGGCCUGCAUGAAUGGUUUAACGAGGGUUUAACUGUCUCUAAAUUUUUUAUUGAAAUUGUACUGAAGGUGAAGAUACCUUCAUUAAAAAGUUAGACAAAAAGACCCCGUGCAACUUUGAAAAUUGACUUUAUUCAGGAGUAAAAGAUUUUUAGGUGGGGCGCCUAGAAAGUAAGCCUAACCUUUCUGAGUAACUAACUCUUUCCGGAUUUGACCCGAUUAUAUUCGAUCAUAGGAGAAGUUACGCCGGGGAUAACAGGCUAAUCCUUUAGUAGAGUUCGUAUUGGCUAAAGGGAUUGGCACCUCGAUGUUGAAUCAGGGAUGAUAGCUUCAAGGCGUAGAGGCUUU
This is a ribosomal RNA of 466 nucleotides. It matches the Rfam family "Bacterial large subunit ribosomal RNA", at positions 1808 to 2565 of the family's 2925-position model.